This 510-nucleotide ribosomal RNA is filed under the name uncultured bacterium. RNAcentral describes it as "partial 16S ribosomal RNA". It matches the Rfam family "Bacterial small subunit ribosomal RNA", at positions 28 to 507 of the family's 1533-position model. The record is from RNAcentral.
GACGAACGCUGGCGGCGUGCUUAACACAUGCAAGUCGAACGAAGAGCGAUGGAAGCUUGCUUCUAUCAAUCUUAGUGGCGAACGGGUGAGUAACGCGUAAUCAACCUGCCCUUCAGAGGGGGACAACAGUUGGAAACGACUGCUAAUACCGCAUACGAUCUAAUCUCGGCAUCGAGGAUAGAUGAAAGGUGGCCUCUACAUGUAAGCUAUCACUGAAGGAGGGGAUUGCGUCUGAUUAGCUAGUUGGAGGGGUAACGGCCCACCAAGGCGAUGAUCAGUAGCCGGUCGGAGAGGAUGGAGGCCCAAAGUGGGAUGGGGACCGGGCCCAGACUCGCAGGGGGGGCAGCGGGGGGGAAUUUCCCGCAAGGGCGGGAAGGCGGACGGGACACCGCCGGGGGGGGGAUAGCGGCGUUGGGGUUGUAAAGGUUUGUAAAGCGGGGGGAAAGGCCUUCUUGCAAAUAGUGAGAGGGUUUGAGGGUACCGAAAUAAAAAGCCCGGGCUAACUCGGGG